RNAcentral lists this long non-coding RNA (2603 nucleotides) under Sus scrofa (pig). Its description in RNAcentral is "lncRNA (ENSSSCG00060048987.1)". Lineage: Eukaryota; Metazoa; Chordata; Mammalia; Artiodactyla; Suidae. The record is from RNAcentral.
GGAUGACAACCGGUACCAUGAAGAUAUUUUCGGAGUCACCCUGCGCACGUAUGAAGUGACCAACCGCCUUAGAUCUGAAUCCAUUGCCUUCAUUGAGGAGAGCAAAAAAGACACAGAUGAGGUUUUCAGCUCCUAACUGGACCCUCUUGCUCAGAUGGAUGGCAGGGUUGCCGCCCCACGCCCUCGGCCGGGGUGGCUACAGGUUUUGUAAGCUCGGACACUGCUGAACCUUCCCUUUGGGCCCCUUCCCCCGUGGCCCCUGCUCUGCCUCUCGUCCUGUCACCGUGUCCUGGUCCUCCGCUCCUGGGUUCUCACUUCUCAGUGUGUCUCUCUCACCCUUUUGGGUUUUCUCCUUGAGUUUUCCUGCUGCAAUGCGAUGCCUUUAUAAUCCGCAGUGGCUUUUACAAAACUGUUUCCCUCUCUCUCUCUCUCUCUUUCUGACAAGGGCACAUCCCCAGUGCAUGAAACCACUGGAACAUGGCUGUGGCUUGUGUUAGGGUGUCUACUGGGGUUCACCCUGGAGAGGCUGCAGGGACCAGAUGCAAGAGUUUUCUGAACUAGUUCCUCCGCCGCUGUUCAAACCCCCGCCCCCCAACCCCGUCCUUUUUUUACAAUGGUGUUCUGGACAUGUGUGUAUGUGCGUGUGAUGGGCCUGGGUCUCCCUCUGUCCUCUUGCCUGAGCAGACAUGCCGCCUGCACACCCUCAGUGCCAAGAAAUUUGCCCCAGCCCAUACUGAGGCCUCAUGUAUCCAUAAGUAAGGGUCUGUGCUAGUACCCAUAAUAGUCCUGGUUAUAAAAGAGCAGGGCGUGGAGGUGGGGUGUGAUGAGAGGAAGAUAUUCAGUGAAAGAGGGAGUCACAGAAUUAGAUGCAUCCAGAUACUGGUACCAGUUAGCGGAGCCCUUACUGGGAGAUGAACCCAUCUGCUCCCCAGCCCCACCCCACCUCAGCCAGGAUCACCUGACCUGGCCCUCCCCAGACAGUCCCACCCACAAGACGGGAAACAGUGUUGUCCAAGGGAAUGAGCUGGAAAUAAGUGUCUUCCCAUCUUUGCCACUGGAUGACAUUGGACAACGUCACCUGUCCUUCAUUUCCUGUAAUUGUAAUGUUAUGAAGCGGAAAAGGAUGGAUAGAUCGAACUUUAAACUUGUGGAGAUUGGAAACAAUAUCAAGGAAGGGCAUUGUUGUUGUUGUUUUAUUUCCCUAAAUGGGGCUUGCCGUUUCAGCCCUGGAAGUAAAAUACCAGAAGUCAGUAAAAGCAGAUGAGGCUGAAGAAGGAGACCAUCACGAGGCGCCUGCCGACAGCUGGGGUGGGGAGAACCUGCCACCAUGCUUUCGGUCUUCAAAAAGAGAUUCCCCCAGGUUUUUAACCUGAUAAAAGAAUUUUGACGAAUAAAUUAUCCUCAACGCAGAUUUUAAAAACAGGCAGUAAAGUCUUUUGGCAAGAAUCGGGACAGGUACAAUUGCUCCCAGUCGGACAAUCUGCUGAGUUCAUCUUCUCAGAGGAAAUGGGGUGGAAGUGUCCCUCUCUACCCUGAAGUGCUCAAAAUCAAUGGUAAGCAGCGCCCAGAGAGAGCCGGGAAACCCCACUGACCCCCAGCAACUGCCUCCCAGGCGUUGAAAGGAAGCCAUCAGCCAGUUCCGGUCUUCCGUCUGGUUUUGUUUCGUCUUAUGCUGUAGAAAGGCAGCCUUUUCUUUGGACGCAGCACACAGGCAUUGCUUUCUUGAUGCUUGGUGUGGGGGUCUGCCAAAGGGAGAGGGCUCUGUCCCUCCCCAGAAGGGCCCUAGAUCCGAGGUGCCAAAAAGGUGUCCCCAGGAAGGGACAACCUCAGAGACUCUUAAAGACAAAGGGGAAGCUCUGUCUCGGCUUUUUCCACCUUCCCUGGCAGCCCCCGCUGGUGUCCCAUCCAUGGGACACAGAGUUCGACUUCGUGCCGGUUUUGAUUUCCCUGCCUGACUUUAAUCCUAUUCACUCCUGCUCGGGCUUCCGUGGCACAGAAACCAAGCACUCAGCAUGCUCGGCCACCCCUCUCUGACCUGGAGGGAAGCCUGUUCAAAACCAUUUCUUUCCUGCAAACGUGAUUCUGGCUUCUAGUAGCUGUCCUCCCAAGGGCUUCCUGUCCAACCCUCUGAGCCUUUCACAGAUACCUCCUAGGAUGUCACUAACUCCCCAGGGGCUGAACUGCUGUGUCCAACCUCCAUCCUAGAAGAAUUAGAGCACCCCUCUCCAAAUCAAGCUUCACACAUGAAUGCUUUUCCAUCGCCAAAGAAAUAUUUAUGAGCACUUACUCCAUACUAGGCACUUUCUCACUUCUCCCUGCCCUUCUAGUAGCAGACAAGCAAAGGAAAACAUCAUCUUGUUUUAUCAGGAAGUCUAAGUGAUUACGUAACCAGGAUUCAUCGUUCUUCCCAAGAAUGAUUGUUUUGUUUUUGUAAGAAAAUACCUUUUAACCCCCAACACAAGCUGCUUCAUAACUCCUGGCUGAGAGACAGGAAGCUAGUCUGAUGGGUUUCUCUCAUUCACCAGAAUCUCUGAUACCAAAAGCCUCCCGUUAAAAAGCCUAUCAAGGAGUUCCCGUUGUGGCUCAGCGGUUAAUGAACCUGA